GAUGAACGCUGGCGGCGUGUCUAAUACAUGCAAGUCGAGCGAACAGACGAGGAGCUUGCUCCUCUGACGUUAGCGGCGGACGGGUGAGUAACACGUGGAUAACCUACCUAUAAGACUGGGAUAACUUCGGGAAACCGGAGCUAAUACCGGAUAAUAUAUUGAACCGCAUGGUUCAAUAGUGAAAGACGGUUUUGCUGUCACUUAUAGAUGGAUCCGCGCCGCAUUAGCUAGUUGGUAAGGUAACGGCUUACCAAGGCAACGAUGCGUAGCCGACCUGAGAGGGGGGGUCGCCAACCUGGGAGCUGAGAAUGGGCCCAAACCCCGAGGGGGGGAAGCGGGAGGGACUUUUCCGAAAGGGCGCAAAGCCUAAGGGAGAAACCCGGGGGGAGGGCUGAGGGUUUUGGGAUGGGAAACUUUUGUAAUUGGGAAAAAAAAAAUGUUAAAGUACCUUGGCAGGUCUGGACGGUACCAAAACAAAAAGCCCCGGCUAACUCCGU
Molecule: ribosomal RNA, 497 nt
Filed under: uncultured bacterium
Lineage: Bacteria
Description: partial 16S ribosomal RNA
Rfam family: Bacterial small subunit ribosomal RNA
Source: RNAcentral